GCGAACCUUGGGUACCAGCUUAAUUAAUGUUUGUUCGAGCGGACAGAUGGGAGCUUGCUCCCUGAUGUUAGCGGCGGACGGGUGAGUAACACGUGGGUAACCUGCCUGUAAGACUGGGAUAACUCCGGGAAACCGGGGCUAAUACCGGAUGGUUGUUUGAACCGCAUGGUUCAAACAUAAAAGGUGGCUUCGGCUACCACUUACAGAUGGACCCGCGGCGCAUUAGCUAGUUGGUGAGGUAACGGCUCACCAAGGCGACGAUGCGUAGCCGACCUGAGAGGGUGAUCGGCCACACUGGGACUGAGACACGGCCCAGACUCCUACGGGAGGCAGCAGUAGGGAAUCUUCCGCAAUGGACGAAAGUCUGACGGAGCAACGCCGCGUGAGUGAUGAAGGUUUUCGGAUCGUAAAGCUCUGUUGUUAGGGAAGAACAAGUACCGUUCGAAUAGGGCGGUACCUUGACGGUACCUAACCAGAAAGCCACGGCUAACUACGUGCCAGCAGCCGCGGUAAUACGUAGGUGGCAAGCGUUGUCCGGAAUUAUUGGGCGUAAAGGGCUCGCAGGCGGUUUCUUAAGUCUGAUGUGAAAGCCCCCGGCUCAACCGGGGAGGGUCAUUGGAAACUGGGGAACUUGAGUGCAGAAGAGGAGAGUGGAAUUCCACGUGUAGCGGUGAAAUGCGUAGAGAUGUGGAGGAACACCAGUGGCGAAGGCGACUCUCUGGUCUGUAACUGACGCUGAGGAGCGAAAGCGUGGGGAGCGAACAGGAUUAGAUACCCUGGUAGUCCACGCCGUAAACGAUGAGUGCUAAGUGUUAGGGGGUUUCCGCCCCUUAGUGCUGCAGCUAACGCAUUAAGCACUCCGCCUGGGGAGUACGGUCGCAAGACUGAAACUCAAAGGAAUUGACGGGGGCCCGCACAAGCGGUGGAGCAUGUGGUUUAUUUCGAAGCAACGCGAAGAACCUUACCAGGUCUUGACAUCCUCUGACAAUCCUAGAGAUAGGACGUCCCCUUCGGGGGCAGAGUGACAGGUGGUGCAUGGGUUUCGUCAGCUCGUGUCGUGGAGA
RNAcentral lists this ribosomal RNA (1064 nucleotides) under uncultured Bacillus sp. RNAcentral's name for it is "bacterial SSU rRNA". It matches the Rfam family "Bacterial small subunit ribosomal RNA", at positions 29 to 1072 of the family's 1533-position model. The record is from RNAcentral. Lineage: Bacteria; Bacillati; Bacillota; Bacilli; Caryophanales; Bacillaceae.